UACAGAGGUCUCAAGCGUUGUUCGGAUUCAUUGGGCGUAAAGGGUGCGUAGGCGGCGCGGUAAGUCGGGUGUGAAAUCUCGGAGCUUAACUCCGAAACUGCAUUCGAUACUGCCGUGCUUGAGGACUGGAGUGGAGACUGGAAUUUACGGUGUAGCGGUGAAAUGCGUAGAUAUCGUAAGGAAGACCAGUGGCGAAGGCGGGUCUCUGGACAGUUCCUGACGCUGAGGCACGAAGGCCAGGGGAGCAAACGGG
RNAcentral lists this ribosomal RNA (253 nucleotides) under uncultured bacterium. Its description in RNAcentral is "partial 16S ribosomal RNA". It matches the Rfam family "Bacterial small subunit ribosomal RNA", at positions 524 to 776 of the family's 1533-position model. The record is from RNAcentral.